This 30-nucleotide small RNA is filed under the name Bombyx mori (domestic silkworm). RNAcentral describes it as "ovarian small RNA-18043". The record is from RNAcentral. Lineage: Eukaryota; Metazoa; Arthropoda; Insecta; Lepidoptera; Bombycidae.
UAAAACUGCUGCGUCGUCCGCCGUGGCCAC